CUACACGAUCACGCCAAGUUGAGGGAGAGCAGAACCAUCUAUCAUUUGGGAAUGGCGGGAUCAAGCAGACAAUGAAUGCGCCGAGGUACGAAGCGCGAGGUUUCUCUCUGGAUCCCGAGAUGGAGAAGAUUUGGUGCAUUUUCUUGCUGGUGUCGACCUGUGCCGGCGUCUCAUUCCACGCCACGCUGCACCGCAGCGGUGCGCUAUUGACGACUGAUGCGCAUUGGUACACACAGACUCUGGAUCACUACGCGACUCAAGACGAUAGAACUUUUUCUCAGCGCUACUAUGAGUUUACGGACUACUUCGAUGCUCCCAACGGGCCAGUGUUUCUCAAGAUAUGUCCCGAGGGACCGUGUGUAGGGAUCCAAAACGAUUACAGUGCGGUGCUAGCGAAAAGGUUUGGAGCCGCGAUUGUUUCUCUUGAGCACCGAUACUAUGGACAAAGCUCGCCAUUCAAAACUCACGCGACAGAGAACUUGAUUUAUCUAUCUUCCAAGCAGGCUCUUUACGAUCUCGCAGCAUUUCGUGAAUACUACCAGGACCUGAUUAAUCAUAGGACCAACUCUACCAGGGACAAUCCUUGGAUUGUAAUUGGAUGGUCAUACGCUGGAGCCUUGAGUGCCUGGUUUAAGCUGAAGUUUCCACAUUUAGCGGUUGGAAGCGUUGCAAGCUCUGGUAUUGUCCAAGCAAUUUUCGAGUUCACUAAGCUCGACGAGCAGGUUGCCGAAUCCGCCGGUGCUACCUGUAGCGCUGCUUUGCGUGCCGUGACCCGUUUAGCAGAACAAGGCCUGAAGAAAAACUCUGUGUUUACGAAAGCAUUGUUCAAUGCUGAACAGCUCGACGUGGAUGGAGAUUUCCUGUAUUUGCUAGCUGAGGCUGCGACCACUGCGUUUCAGUAUGGUAAUCCAGAAAUCUUGUGUUCGCCACUUGUUGCUGCGUAUAAACGUGACGAGGAUCUACUGGCUGUGUAUGCGAAGUAUGUCAAAGAUUACUACAUAGACACAUUUAAAUCGAGCAUCAAUACUUAUGAUCAAAAGCACUUGAAAGAAAACUUGGCUGCAGGAGAUCAUUCGAGUGAUAGAUUAUGGUGGUACCAAAUGUGCACCGAAUUGGGGUACUUUCAAGUGGCGCCUGCAAACAAUAGCAUUCGCUCUGCUCUCAUCAAUGUCAAGUACCAUUUGGAUUUAUGCUCCAACGUCUUCGGGAACGGCACAUUCCCAGAAGUCGAUAGCACGAACCUUUACUAUGGGGGAAACAGAGGAGAUAAGAUUUUGUUUAUGAACGGCUCCCAAGAUCCUUGGCGUCAUGCCUCCAAGCAAACUUCUUCCCGCAAUGAGCCCGCAUAUGUGAUAAAGUGUCAAAACUGCGGUCAUGGAGUUGAUAUGCUAGGCUGUCCGCAGUCCCCGCCUCAAAUCGGAGGAAACACCUCGAAGUGUGCCGACCCGGAGGCUGCACAAGCGGGUCAGAGGAUCAUAGCGACUUACAUCUCCCGCUGGCUCGAAGACGCGAAUGGCUCUGUAAAGUACAUGUAAAUCCUUGCUAGUUUUCGAGAUGCAAAGUUCAUGUUCAUGGUCAUAAUCCUUUUAUUUCCUCCGACAAAAACUCAAGAAGAAAACCAUCUUUUGCUGAACUGCAUUUGCAAAAAAGAAGAGAACCCUAUCGCUCCAGUUUUGUGGUGAGAUCACUGCCACAAGUGAUUUCCUCGAUACUUUCUUGUCAGGGCGCUCCAUAUAAGCCGAGCUUUGAGUGAAAUUCUUGAGAGUUUAGAAACAGCAAUAACAGCUUUCUUUCUCCU
RNA transcript from Selaginella moellendorffii, 1798 nucleotides. It is a transcript of the gene named probable serine protease EDA2, with no coding region annotated. Lineage: Eukaryota; Viridiplantae; Streptophyta; Lycopodiopsida; Selaginellales; Selaginellaceae. The record is from RefSeq and is a predicted model, not a curated record. The transcript has 15 exons.